UACGUAGGGUGCAAGCGUUAAUCGGAAUUACUGGGCGUAAAGCGUGCGCAGGCGGUGAUGUAAGUCAGGUGUGAAAUCCCCGGGCUCAACCUGGGAACUGCAUUUGUGACUGCAUCGCUGGAGUGCGGCAGAGGGGGAUGGAAUUCCGCGUGUAGCAGUGAAAUGCGUAGAUAUGCGGAGGAACACCGAUGGCGAAGGCAAUCCCCUGGGCCCGCACUGACGCUCAUGCACGAAAGCGUGGGGAGCAAACAGG
Molecule: ribosomal RNA, 253 nt
Filed under: uncultured bacterium
Lineage: Bacteria
Description: partial 16S ribosomal RNA
Rfam family: Bacterial small subunit ribosomal RNA
Source: RNAcentral